RNAcentral lists this ribosomal RNA (466 nucleotides) under uncultured bacterium. Its description in RNAcentral is "partial 16S ribosomal RNA". It matches the Rfam family "Bacterial small subunit ribosomal RNA", at positions 29 to 506 of the family's 1533-position model. The record is from RNAcentral.
ACGAACGCUGGCGGCGUGCUUAACACAUGCAAGUCGAACGGAAAGGCCCUGCUUUUGUGGGGUGCUCGAGUGGCGAACGGGUGAGUAACACGUGAGUAACCUGCCCUUGACUUUGGGAUAACUUCAGGAAACUGGGGCUAAUACCGGAUAGGAGCUCCUGCUGCAUGGUGGGGGUUGGAAAGUUUCGGCGGUUGGGGAUGGACUCGCGGCUUAUCAGCUUGUUGGUGGGGUAGUGGCUUACCAAGGCUUUGACGGGUAGCCGGCCUGAGAGGGUGACCGGCCACAUUGGGACUGAGGUACGGCCCAGACUCCAACGGGAGGCAGCAGUGGGAAAUAUUGCACAAUGGGCGGAAGCAUGAUGCAGCAACGCCGCGUGGGGGAUGACGGCCUUCGGGUUGUAAACCGCUUUCGCGUGUGACGAAGCGUGAGGGACGGUAAUGGGUAAAGAGGCACCGGCUAACUACGU